This 253-nucleotide ribosomal RNA is filed under the name uncultured bacterium. Its description in RNAcentral is "partial 16S ribosomal RNA". It matches the Rfam family "Bacterial small subunit ribosomal RNA", at positions 524 to 776 of the family's 1533-position model. The record is from RNAcentral.
GACAGAGGGUGCAAACGUUGUUCGGAUUUACUGGGCGUAAAGCGCGUGUAGGCGGCUUUGCAAGUCGGAUGUGAAAGCCCACGGCUCAACCGUGGAAGUGCAUCCGAAACUGCAUGGCUUGAGUCUCGGAGAGGAAGGUGGAAUGCUUGGUGUAGAGGUGAAAUUCGUAGAUAUCAAGCAGAACACCAGUGGCGAAGGCGGCUCACUGGCUCGAUACUGACGCUGAGGUGCGAAAGCGUGGGGAGCGAACAGG